This 269-nucleotide ribosomal RNA is filed under the name uncultured soil bacterium. RNAcentral's name for it is "partial 16S ribosomal RNA". It matches the Rfam family "Bacterial small subunit ribosomal RNA", at positions 26 to 309 of the family's 1533-position model. The record is from RNAcentral.
AGCCUGAACGCUGGCGGCGUGGCUAAGACAUGCAAGUCGCACGGGGUAGCAAUACCCAGUGGCGAACGGGAGAGUAAUGAAUCGCUAAUGUACCCCGGACUCUGGGAUAGCUACCCGAAAGGGUAGGUAAUACCAGAUGACAUAACCCUGUCGCAUGACAGGGUUCUCAAAGGUCCGCCGGUCCGGGAGCAGGCGAUUCGUAUCAGCUAGUUGGUCGGGUAACGGCCACCAGGCGACGACGCGUAGCCGGACUGAGAGGUUGGCCGGCU